GGAAGGCAGAGAGAAAGCGAGAGAGAGAGAGAUGGAGAUGAGUGAAAGGGAGGGAGGGAGGAGUAUCUGGAGGCUGAUGAUUUUGUCUUACAUCACUGAGCAUCUCUUGGUAAGGACAGAAUCCUAACAGUUCUAACUGGUUUGUAAAGGUUUAAUCAGAACCGAGCCUGCACGACUCCUCAAUGAGUGCACAUUAAAGAUCAACAGCGAUCAAGGUUUGGGCAACAUAAAAGCAACCAAUAGCAUCGAGGGACUGCUGCACAUUGCCUAAAGACACAGCUGAUUCACCUUCACAACACAACAAAAAAACUUCACAAGCUGAAACAUGGAGAGCAUAGAGAGUAAAGCAUCCACCAUUUCUCCACAGAAACAGACGGUAAAAAACCGAUCCAAGUCCACGGAUGAAGUACAGCAAGCCAAAAAGGCCUUUCACACACCACAGAAAUCUCUCCCAGCCAAACCCGAAACUGAAAAACUGGAGGAGGCCACAGAACUGAACGCCUCAUCGGAGGAGUUCAAAUGAAACUUUGCGGCUUUGAGACUUAAAUCAGCAGGAAUGAUGGGUAAUAAUGAGAGGGUGAUUCAGUGUGUCUGUUUAUACCAUUAUGACUCAGAAUUACAAGUGUAGCUGGCAAAAUCACAAGUCAUUUGGAAAACAGCCAACAACAAUCAUGUGUAGCUUUUUAAUUUGUGUGAUAAUGUAUUAAAAAAUAAACAAAUGCAGAACUGGAUCACGGUGCAGUGUCUGUAAUGCAAAUGUAAUUCAGUGUAAAGUGGCAUGUAAAGUCUCUAAAUGAAAAUGAAAUAGACAAAACCUUAAAUAUAUCAGUAGUAUUUGUACUGUAACUUAUUUGUGAACCUGCCUGUAAAUUACAUAAUUUACUUUUGAUUAUUAAAUUCACAUUGAUUUCAAUCUUUGACAUUUAACCAAUCACUGUCAUUUAAAAAAGUUCAAUACAGUUAAAAUAAACUUUUAUUUGCUUUUUAAUAAUUCUAUGUACUAACAUUAACAAAGAUUAAUAAAUGCUGAAAAACUA
Molecule: long non-coding RNA, 1037 nt
Organism: Misgurnus anguillicaudatus (oriental weatherfish)
Lineage: Eukaryota; Metazoa; Chordata; Actinopteri; Cypriniformes; Cobitidae
Source: RefSeq, a predicted model, not a curated record